RNAcentral lists this ribosomal RNA (1108 nucleotides) under Bacillus subtilis. RNAcentral describes it as "bacterial SSU rRNA". It matches the Rfam family "Bacterial small subunit ribosomal RNA", at positions 40 to 1133 of the family's 1533-position model. The record is from RNAcentral. Lineage: Bacteria; Bacillati; Bacillota; Bacilli; Caryophanales; Bacillaceae.
CUGCGCGUGCUAUACAUGCAAGUCGAGCGGACAGAUGGGAGCUUGCUCCCUGAUGUUAGCGGCGGACGGGUGAGUAACACGUGGGUAACCUGCCUGUAAGACUGGGAUAACUCCGGGAAACCGGGGCUAAUACCGGAUGGUUGUUUGAACCGCAUGGUUCAGACAUAAAAGGUGGCUUCGGCUACCACUUACAGAUGGACCCGCGGCGCAUUAGCUAGUUGGUGAGGUAACGGCUCACCAAGGCGACGAUGCGUAGCCGACCUGAGAGGGUGAUCGGCCACACUGGGACUGAGACACGGCCCAGACUCCUACGGGAGGCAGCAGUAGGGAAUCUUCCGCAAUGGACGAAAGUCUGACGGAGCAACGCCGCGUGAGUGAUGAAGGUUUUCGGAUCGUAAAGCUCUGUUGUUAGGGAAGAACAAGUGCCGUUCAAAUAGGGCGGCACCUUGACGGUACCUAACCAGAAAGCCACGGCUAACUACGUGCCAGCAGCCGCGGUAAUACGUAGGUGGCAAGCGUUGUCCGGAAUUAUUGGGCGUAAAGGGCUCGCAGGCGGUUUCUUAAGUCUGAUGUGAAAGCCCCCGGCUCAACCGGGGAGGGUCAUUGGAAACUGGGGAACUUGAGUGCAGAAGAGGAGAGUGGAAUUCCACGUGUAGCGGUGAAAUGCGUAGAGAUGUGGAGGAACACCAGUGGCGAAGGCGACUCUCUGGUCUGUAACUGACGCUGAGGAGCGAAAGCGUGGGGAGCGAACAGGAUUAGAUACCCUGGUAGUCCACGCCGUAAACGAUGAGUGCUAAGUGUUAGGGGGUUUCCGCCCCUUAGUGCUGCAGCUAACGCAUUAAGCACUCCGCCUGGGGAGUACGGUCGCAAGACUGAAACUCAAAGGAAUUGACGGGGGCCCGCACAAGCGGUGGAGCAUGUGGUUUAAUUCGAAGCAACGCGAAGAACCUUACCAGGUCUUGACAUCCUCUGACAUCCUAGAGAUAGGACGUCCCCUUCGGGGGCAGAGUGACAGGUGUGCAUGAUGUCGUCAGCUCGUGUCGUGAGAUGUUGGGUUAAGUUCCCCGCACGAGCGGCAACCUUUGGAUUCUUAAGUUUGCCCAGCCAA